RNAcentral lists this ribosomal RNA (352 nucleotides) under uncultured bacterium. Its description in RNAcentral is "bacterial SSU rRNA". It matches the Rfam family "Bacterial small subunit ribosomal RNA", at positions 917 to 1269 of the family's 1533-position model. The record is from RNAcentral.
GGGCCCGCACAAGCGGUGGAGUAUGUGGUUUAAUUCGAUGCAACGCGAAGAACCUUACCAGGGUUUGACAUCCUGCGAAUCUCUUGGAAACUUGAGAGUGCCUUCGGGAGCGCAGUGACAGGUGGUGCAUGGCUGUCGUCAGCUCGUGUCGUGAGAUGUUGGGUUAAGUCCCGCAACGAGCGCAACCCACGUCUUUAGUUGCCAGCAGUUCGGCUGGGCACUCUAUGGAAACUGCCCGUGAUAAGCGGGAGGAAGGUGUGGAUGACGUCAAGUCCUCAUGGCCCUUACGGGUUGGGCUACACACGUGCUACAAUGGUAGUGACAAAAAGUUGCAAGUUCGCGAGAGCAAGCU